UACAGAGGUCCCGAGCGUUGUUCGGAUUCACUGGGCGUAAAGGGUGCGCAGGUGGGUUGGCAAGUUUGAUGUGAAAGCCCCGGGCUUAACCCGGGAAUGGCAUUGAAUACUGCUGAUCUGGAGGAUCGGAGGGGGACUGGAAUUCUUGGUGUAGCAGUGAAAUGCGUAGAUAUCAAGAGGAACACCAGUGGCGAAGGCGAGUCCCUGGACGAUACCUGACACUGAGGCACGAAAGCCGGGGGAGCAAACAGG
Molecule: ribosomal RNA, 252 nt
Filed under: uncultured bacterium
Lineage: Bacteria
Description: partial 16S ribosomal RNA
Rfam family: Bacterial small subunit ribosomal RNA
Source: RNAcentral